Molecule: non-coding RNA, 1750 nt
Organism: Struthio camelus australis
Lineage: Eukaryota; Metazoa; Chordata; Aves; Struthioniformes; Struthionidae
Source: RefSeq, a predicted model, not a curated record
GUGGUGGUGGUGGUUUUUUUUUUUUAAACUAAAACUGCACUGACUCAAAGACACAGAAAUGAGUUAAUUUCAGCAGGUUUCUAUUGUGUGUAAAACAACUGAUCUGAUUUACGGUAACACUUAAUAAAGUGUUGGAAGUUCAAAUACAGAUCUGGCUAAAGUAGUAAGAGUCACAACUCAAUCUAGGGAAAAUUGCGUUUCUAUGAAGAAGUUAUUUCCAUGAAAAAUAUUAACUGUCCAGCCAUAUAAGUUGAGCAGGACUGUCCUGAAAGAGCUGCACAUGUUGUUUUUGAGAAGUAACUUUCCCUAUCCUUCUUAAGCUCCAAAAUUGCUGAACUGAUUUUGCUUCUCAAUAGCGUACUUGGUGGUAAUUCCGCACUGGCUGAAUUCAGGCCUGGAUCAGACACACAAGAAGAAAAAUCAAGUAACUGAGUGACUGAAAAGAACGUUGAGAUACACAUAUGCAUUCUCAAACAAGUGUAGUAUGAAUUCGGAAUAAUGGAAAUUUUGUGCUUGAUGCAACAUAAUGUGUAGAAGGCUGCAGCUAAUUGCAAAAGAUGGUGCCUGGAUGUUGCCCAAGGCCUAGCAGUGGAAAGAAAGCGUGGCUCACUAAGCCAAAUUUCUUUUUGCCUUCCCCUCCCUUUUAAAGGAUAUCAGCUUGUUAUUGAGGAGAGCUGUGUGAAGAAUGGUAGUAGUACUUCAUAAAGCAUUUUAAAAUUCGGAUUGCAAUUUCAUGAAAGGAAUUUUUUUCAUUUAAUUUCUUUUGUAGUAUACAAAAGUUUCUGUAUGUCUACUUCAGAAAAGGGAAAUAAUAUAUUCAUGUUUGAUCUCUUCCUAAAUUAAAUUCCAGUGUAAAGGCUUAAAUUCAGUCCGGCUAGACUUUGAUAUUGUCACACUGUCUAAUGGAGCGUAUGGUUCUGUUGAUGUUUUUCUGACCAUCUCUUCUGCUGAUGCAUUCCAGCAGUAAAUGACUAAUCUUUUCUUUCUGAAUCAUCUUACUAGCUGAGAAGACAGCCAGUGUGUGGUGUGUUUUUGUUUUUACUUUUGAUUUUGUUUUUUAAACCCCCAUCUUUCUCCCACUCUUUUUCCCUGGCCAUCUGGGCUUUUCAGAGAAUAAGAAAUGACAAGUGUUUUCUGCAUCUGCAAGUUUAAACAGUCUCUUAAACAGAAGGAAAGAAGCGCUUUCCGCGUAUUCAUAAAAAGGAGAAUAAGCAGAAGCCCUGCAAUAACUGAAGUCUGCCAGCACUUUAGGAAAAAUACAAUAUCCUAAAAAUUACGAGUAGUUUUUGUCAGAAUGUGAUGAUAUGAAGAGAGCCAGUGCCAUCUUUAAAAGGAAACUGAAAUGGAGCAUAUCUUGCGGCUGAACUCAAGACCUAAUUCUGCCAGUUCCACUGAGUGCAGGAACCAAGGCAUUGAAGUGCAUUUAUAGAUGGAAGUAAAGCUGUGUGCUCAUCCUAUAAUGUAUGUUGAACGUUUGGACCAACAUAGUUACAUACAGCAGGAACUAGGAAGUACGUCAUAGAGUGAAGGAAUCAGAAAACAAUUCAAUCCGUUGGAAUCAUGAGGACUUGUUGAGGGAGCCAGGCCAUCCAGUAGUUCUCUUGUUCAUAAAUGUUGACCUCUCAAAAAAUAGCACGAGGGCACUUCAUGCAAUUUGGGGUUUUUUGCACACAGAAGUCGUAUUUCUUAAAUGUGUAAGUGAUUCUCUUUGGUCACACCUGAAGCCUUUCCAUUUCAGAUGCAGCCUGUC